GUAGGGAAUAUUGCACAAUGGGGGAAACCCUGAUGCAGCGACGCCGCGUGAGUGAUGAAGGCCUUCGGGUCGUAAAGCUCUGUCGUAUGGGACUAACACAAUGAAGGUACCAUGCAAGAAAGGAUCGGCUAACUUCGUGCCAGCAGCCGCGGUAAGACGAGGGAUCCUAGCGUUGUUCGGAAUCAUUGGGCGUAAAGCGGGUGUAGGCGGAUUUAUAAGUCAGGUGUGAAAUCCCAGGGCUCAACCCUGGAAGUGCACUUGAUACUGUAAAUCUUGAGUGUGGUAGAGGUUACUGGAAUUGUUGGUGUAGUGGUGAAAUACGUAGAUAUCAACAGGAAUACCGGAGGCGAAGGCGAGUAACUGGGCCAACACUGACGCUGAGACCCGAAAGCGUGGGGAUCAAACAGGAUUAGAUACCCUGGUAGUCCC
RNAcentral lists this ribosomal RNA (429 nucleotides) under uncultured bacterium. Its description in RNAcentral is "partial 16S ribosomal RNA". It matches the Rfam family "Bacterial small subunit ribosomal RNA", at positions 354 to 797 of the family's 1533-position model. The record is from RNAcentral.